GCAAUCACAGCAAUCGUCACUUGGUGGAGCCAGAUUACUCUGCAUGUGAAUGUGCUUUACAAAUAGUUUUCAGAAAAGCUAUCAAAGACAGGAUUUAUAAAUAUUACUUUGGAGGAAGAUUAAAAACAAAUUGUGGGAUUUUAAUACAUCCUUUUAGGAAUUAGGAGCUUUACAUCUUUGCUUUUAAUUACUCUAGCACAGAAGAAGUAUCAGACUUGCUGGGCAAAGCAGAGGCUAUCUCUAUUUGCUGGAAUAAAAUAGGAAUACAGUGUUGGUAUAUUUGAUAAUGUACAUGCAAACCUGCAAGGAUGAAGCCAUAGCUUUCAAUUUUGAGAACAGAUGAUACAUGGAGGAAAAAAGGAGGAGAUACCACACUGUAAACACCUUCUCUAUACUCUGCUAACUCCCAUGUGUGUUUUUAGAACUACAUCUGCUUCUGUGACCUGUUGA
This 450-nucleotide long non-coding RNA is filed under the name Cyanistes caeruleus (blue tit). Its description in RNAcentral is "lncRNA (ENSCCEG00000006775.1)". The record is from RNAcentral. Lineage: Eukaryota; Metazoa; Chordata; Aves; Passeriformes; Paridae.